AUUGAACGCUGGCGGCAGGCCUAACACAUGCAAGUCGAACGGUAACAGGAAGCAGCUUGCUGCUUCGCUGACGAGUGGCGGACGGGUGAGUAAUGUCUGGGAAACUGCCUGAUGGAGGGGGAUAACUACUGGAAACGGUAGCUAAUACCGCAUAACGUCGCAAGCCCAAAGAGGGGGACCUUAGGGCCUCUUGCCAUCGGAUGUGCCCAGAUGGGAUUAGCUAUUAGGUGGGGUAACGGCUCACCUAGGCGACGAUCCCUAGCUGGUCUGAGAGGAUGACCAGCCACACUGGAACUGAGACACGGUCCAGACUCCUACGGGAGGCAGCAGUGGGGAAUAUUGCACAAUGGGCGCAAGCCUGAUGCAGCCAUGCCGCGUGUAUGAAGAAGGCCUUCGGGUUGUAAAGUACUUUCAGCGGGGAGGAAGGGAGUAAAGUUAAUACCUUUGCUCAUUGACGUUACCCGCAGAAGAAGCACCGGCUAACUCCGUG
This 490-nucleotide ribosomal RNA is filed under the name uncultured bacterium. RNAcentral describes it as "partial 16S ribosomal RNA". It matches the Rfam family "Bacterial small subunit ribosomal RNA", at positions 30 to 507 of the family's 1533-position model. The record is from RNAcentral.